GAUGAAGAACGCAGCGAAAUGCGAUACGUAAUGUGAAUUGCAGAAUUCAGUGAAUCAUCGAGUCUUUGAACGCACAUUGCGCCCCCUGGUAUUCCGGGGGGCAUGCCUGUCCGAGCGUCAUUGCUGCCCUCAGGCACGGCUUGUGUGUUGGGCCCCGCCCCCCGGCUCCCGGGGGGCGGGCCCGAAAGGCAGCGGCGGCACCGCGUCCGGUCCUCGAGCGUAUGGGGCUUCGUCACCCGCUCCGUAGGCCCGGCCGGCGCCCGCCGGCGACCCCCCUCAAUCUUUUCAGGUUGACCUCGGAUCAGGUAGGGAUACCCGCUGAACUUAAGCAUAUCAAUAAGCGGAGGA
This 348-nucleotide unclassified non-coding RNA is filed under the name soil metagenome. Its description in RNAcentral is "partial contains 5.8S ribosomal RNA, internal transcribed spacer 2, and large subunit ribosomal RNA". The stretch from base 1 to 120 matches the Rfam family "5.8S ribosomal RNA", at positions 35 to 154 of the family's 154-position model. The record is from RNAcentral.